CCAGGUUUUGAAUGAAUCGCUGCCAAACAGGACUCGUAAGGUCACACCACCGCCCGUCCCCUCUGCUCCGAAACCCCUCGCACAGCAGUCAGAGUUCCCCACCCCGUCCAUUUUGAGCACUCCGCAUCAGCUGUGCCAAGCGUUUAAUCUGCCUGGUGACAUCCCAGUGUUUCCUGCAUGGGACAGAAGGAGAGAUAAGCACGCUCCCCUGUGCGUUUCGACUCGGGGGACCGAACGUAAACCUGUCCGACAAAACACGAGGGAUCUAGAUGUUUCAUGAGUGCAGGAGCGUCUCGUAUAAACCCUGACACUGAGGUGAUAAUUCUGGCUUUUCUUACUUAAAGGAACAGCUGACAUCCAGACUGAAGGAGGCGGGAACUGAACCACCUCUACCUCCUGAUCCACAGUCACCUGAAGCAGAGCUGGAGCUUUAAAUACCAGGCUGUGCGUGACCGACCACCUCACCUGGAUACAGCAGCAGCAGCCUCUCAGAGCAUGACGCCUCACACAUGCUUAUUCAUCCUUUCACUCUUUAACGACCCCGGAAUGACCUAUGCCUGCAAAUCCUAAUUUACAGAGCACAACCAUACGUGAGGACAGAGACACAAGGGUCCACCCAAGAGGAGACACGACCUGCAGAGGGAGGAACACACCGUCAACUUUUGGGGAACUGGAAGUGGACUGUUUGCUGUUUCAUUGGAAAUGUUUUUGAUAUUUGUUUGAAGUUCAGUUUGUGAAAACAUGAACACAAAUACUCUUCCUGUGUGAGAGACGGUUCUCAGACUGACUGUGGUGUUAAAAAAGAAAAAUACCAAACAGUGUCUAGACACUGUACUGACCUGAUUUCCCUAAAAACAUGAGACUGGAAAUGAUUAUUAUUAUUUUUAAUUAUUAUUAUUUAUUUAUUUUUAUCAAAAAUGUUUGUUCAUAAAAUUAUUUGUUUAUAGAAAAUGCAUCACCAUUUACUUCAUGACCAAAUAUUAUGGGAUAAUGUGUAGAUCCAUUUAAACAGUCAGUCACCAAGCUUCAUUUUACUUUAACUCUCAAAAAGUUGUGCAAUCGUGGUUAAAAAAAACAACAACAUAUAUUAACGUAUUUUGACAAAUAAUAAACAAUGGAAGUACUGUUAAUUACAACGUGUCAGCUGCACACACACACACACAGACACAGACAAAAGGGAGUUGACCCAGGUCAUGACACUCUGGCCCCUCUCUCCCUUUAUUUAGACCAUAUUUUAUGUAUUUUUAUUUUUUAGGAAGUCCUACCGGUGAUUCCCAAAAUGGUGCCUGUUGGUGUGAAUUUCACAGAGCAUGGUUUCCUCUCAGUCUCUCAGAUAAAGGAUGUUCCCAGCCAAUCUUUCAUGGAUGGAGCAAACAGGAGUCAGCAGAAGGAGGAAGUGAGGACAGGUGCUCUGUGAAAGAUUCACAAAAACACAGACAGACAAUGGUCGACAUUUAUCUCAUGAGCUUUACCUAUAAACACUUUUUUUUUUGCUGUUAUUGAAUAAAAACAGCCGCUCAUAAAUGUGUCUUUUUGCCAGACUGCAUGCAUCACUCUGUCAUGCCAUUCACUCUUCCACAAGCACU
Molecule: long non-coding RNA, 1586 nt
Organism: Solea solea (common sole)
Lineage: Eukaryota; Metazoa; Chordata; Actinopteri; Pleuronectiformes; Soleidae
Exons: 4
Source: RefSeq, a predicted model, not a curated record